AUAUAUAUGUUUUAAUGCUUGUAAGACUAUUCUUUGACACAUUUUCUCUUCCUUUGAAAUUCUUAUAGGACAGAACAUGGACACAAUGCAAUUGGGAUCAAGAAGAAGGUACAGAUCUGUUGUAGGACAGCUGCAUUUGAAGUGUACAUUUAACCUACAUAGCAGUCAAUACAAACUGACAUCUAUUAGCAUACAAAUGUGUGCAAAUGAUCUUUUCAGAUCUUCUCAGAAAUGAAUCAAGUCCAUGGAAUGGAUAUAUACAAAAAUAUAAUUCAAGGACUAUCAGAGGUAGAGAGGCGAGGCAGGGGACUGGAGACCACAGCAGCGAUUCUGCUCUUGCCCAACCUCUUCAAUGAGAACCUGAGUGGCCUUUAUGUCCAUGACAAGAUUUCACCGCUCUUCACUCCUUUACUGCACAUCGGUGGAAAUCCAUUUCACCAUGAGAGUGAAAUCCCGCUGGCCUUUGAAGGGGAGAACAUCCACACCCUCGAGGACGUCCCCAUGGGACUUGAGGCUCUGCUAGGGCUGUAUUUUUAUAUUUUCCCUUAAAUUUCCCAAAAAUGUCAGAAAAACCUAUUAAGUUACUGUGUUCUGGGGAGAAGAGAAGUUGGGGUGAAGUUAUCAGGGCCGGUCAUAAAGAUGGCAAACUUCCUAACAUUACUAAGUGGAUAUGAUAUACACACUAAAGCUGAAAAAUCUGUAUUUAGCAUCAAGUCUACAAUAUUGUUAGUUUACCUWUGAUUCAUUUUUAAUGUAUGUUGUUUUUAUUGUACAUCAUUAUUUAUAUAUGUUUUAAAU
RNA transcript from Salvelinus sp. IW2-2015, 798 nucleotides. RefSeq lists it as uncharacterized. The record is from RefSeq and is a predicted model, not a curated record. NCBI's taxonomy places the organism in Eukaryota, Metazoa, Chordata, Actinopteri, Salmoniformes, Salmonidae.